ACGACGAUUCAGUUAAUAUCUGAUCGGUAUAUCAGAGUUGUUAUUCGAUAUUUAUUCAGAUCUCCAUCGAUCUACUACUAUUACUGACAUAUGGUCAAUCUGUCUUCUCACGAUCAUAUAAGUUUAGAAUAUGCAGAAUCUACACAUCUAACUGUUAUAAGUAGUUAUUAACUAUGUGUCACAGUCAUUAGUAGGCAUAAACAAUCCAUAACUUCAUAAUUAUGGUCCGAUAAUUUAGUGCCAUAAAAAGCGAAACCACGUGUUCGACGGUUACAUCUGAAUCAUCUAUAAAAGGGAGGUAAUUGAACAGUAUUGGUAAGAUAAUUUUAGGUUGAGAUUCUGUCAUUUCAAAUAUUCUUAUCUGCUGUUUACCACUCUCCGCCGACUUAAGCAUCGGAGGGUUUCCGCUGACUUAAGCAUCAGAGGAUCUCCGUCGAAUACAAUUUCGGUCCGUGA
Molecule: long non-coding RNA, 456 nt
Filed under: Elaeis guineensis (African oil palm)
Lineage: Eukaryota; Viridiplantae; Streptophyta; Magnoliopsida; Arecales; Arecaceae
Description: long non-coding RNA (EGUI_LNC076844)
Source: RNAcentral